UCCUUAAUGGUCCAGUGGUUAGGACCUGUACUUUCACUGCCAAGGGCCUGGGUUCAAUCCCUGGUUGGGGAA
Molecule: transfer RNA, 72 nt
Filed under: Bos taurus (domestic cattle)
Lineage: Eukaryota; Metazoa; Chordata; Mammalia; Artiodactyla; Bovidae
Also listed under: 2 other names
Rfam family: tRNA
About the family: Transfer RNA (tRNA) molecules are approximately 80 nucleotides in length.
Source: Rfam by way of RNAcentral